RNAcentral lists this ribosomal RNA (305 nucleotides) under uncultured bacterium. RNAcentral's name for it is "bacterial SSU rRNA". It matches the Rfam family "Bacterial small subunit ribosomal RNA", at positions 336 to 657 of the family's 1533-position model. The record is from RNAcentral.
CGCCUACGGGGGGCAGCAGUGGGGAAUAUUGCACAAUGGGGGAAACCCUGAUGCAGCAACGCCGCGUGAAGGAAGACGGUUUUCGGAUUGUAAACUUCUGUUCUUAGUGAAGAAAAAUGACGGUAGCUAAGGAGCAAGCCACGGCUAACUACGGGCCAGCAGCCGCGGUAAUACGUAGGUGGCAAGCGUUGUCCGGAAUUACUGGGUGUAAAGGGAGCGCAGGCGGGAAGCCAAGGCAGCUGUGACAACUACGGGCUUAACUUGUAGACUGCAGGUGAAACUGGAUUUAGUGAGGGAAGUAGAGG